GACGUAGGGCGCGAGCGUUGUCCGGAUUUAUUGGGCGUAAAGAGCUCGUAGGCGGUUUGUCGCGUCGUUCGUGAAAACUCACAGCUUAACUGUGAGCUUGCGGUCGAUACGGGCAGGCUAGAGUUCGGUAGGGGAGACUGGAAUUCCUGGUGUAGCGGUGAAAUGCGCAGAUAUCAGGAGGAACACCGGUGGCGAAGGCGGGUCUCUGGGCCGUAACUGACGCUGAGGAGCGAAAGCGUGGGGAGCGAACAGG
This 253-nucleotide ribosomal RNA is filed under the name uncultured bacterium. Its description in RNAcentral is "partial 16S ribosomal RNA". It matches the Rfam family "Bacterial small subunit ribosomal RNA", at positions 524 to 776 of the family's 1533-position model. The record is from RNAcentral.